UCCGUAGGUGAACCUGCGGAGGGAUCAUUACAAGUGACCCCGGUCUAACCACCGGGAUGUUCAUAACCCUUUGUUGUCCGACUCUGUUGCCUCCGGGGCGACCCUGCCUUCGGGCGGGGGCUCCGGGUGGACACUUCAAACUCUUGCGUAACUUUGCAGUCUGAGUAAACUUAAUUAAUAAAUUAAAACUUUUAACAACGGAUCUCUUGGUUCUGGCAUCGAUGAAGAACGCAGCGAAAUGCGAUAAGUAAUGUGAAUUGCAGAAUUCAGUGAAUCAUCGAAUCUUUGAACGCACAUUGCGCCCCCUGGUAUUCCGGGGGGCAUGCCUGUUCGAGCGUCAUUUCACCACUCAAGCCUCGCUUGGUAUUGGGCAUCGCGGUCCGCCGCGUGCCUCAAAUCGACCGGCUGGGUCUUCUGUCCCCUAAGCGUUGUGGAAACUAUUCGCUAAAGGGUGUUCGGGAGGCUACGCCGUAAAACAACCCCAUUUCUAAGGUUGACCUCGGAUCAGGUAGGGAUACCCGCUGAACUUAAGCAUAUCAAUAAGCGGAGGAAAAGAAACCAACAGGGAUUGCCCUAGUAACG
Molecule: ribosomal RNA, 582 nt
Filed under: uncultured fungus
Lineage: Eukaryota; Fungi
Description: eukaryotic LSU rRNA
Rfam family: 5.8S ribosomal RNA (bases 187-340)
Source: RNAcentral